Molecule: long non-coding RNA, 3749 nt
Organism: Numida meleagris (helmeted guineafowl)
Lineage: Eukaryota; Metazoa; Chordata; Aves; Galliformes; Numididae
Exons: 8
Source: RefSeq, a predicted model, not a curated record
UGAUUUAUCCCAACCUGCUUAGGGCAGUGUUGUGGCACAGAACAGCUUUGGUCUGCACUCCCAGCAGGGCCUAGCACUGCCUGGCUAUCUGCCGUGGCUCGCCAGGUGCCCUUGCCUCACACUGCUGCUGCAGGCCUGCCCCAGUGCAUGAGCAUCCUAAGGGGGAUUUCAUUCAAUUUAGGCAAAGGAAUAAAAGAGAAAGAGUUGGGAGGUAUAUACCAGGCCAGACCGGAAGGAGACUAACAACAAAGUGCAUGUUGCACCUGACCGAUUGCUCAUCAGCAUUUCAUAGGGACCUGAUAGUACAUCCUCAGCAGGCCUUGGUCAAAUAUUGGUAGGCAAGAGCUGGUUCAAAAAUAAAUAUUUGGACUGGAAAGAGUUUGGAAAGCUGAAAAUUGUGAAGGAUGCAGUAGUGGCAGACCCACUGCAGUUCUGAUGCAGAUGCCAGUGGCUCUGUGCCCUUCCAUCCCAUUAUUAGAAGGAACCUCCUCUCUCAGAUGAGGCAACCUACAGCAGGCAAGGGGAGCUUCAGCCUAGAAAAUGCAGUGAAAAAGUGUGAAGCAAGAUUUCUGUAAGUACUCCAUCCCCAUGGAUGCCUCUGUGAUCGUGAGAAAAGAAGACUGUGGUGAACUGAAGAGGCAUGACUCUGCUUCAGUGACAGAAUCUAUAGCCAGGAUGAUCUGUGCUACUGUAUAAUGAUAGAAAUCCUGCAUCUUUGGCUAUUCAUGGGCCUGAGAUACAGCCUACUGCAGCUGAUAAGGUAUAAUGGACUUCAGUGAUCUUCAGCACCUCUGAACUGAACACAGCGAAGACCCAACAUGACCGAAGUUUCCAAGUCCAACUGUAAGCAGGAACCCUUCACAGGGAAGGCAGCCCAGGUGUCCAGACCCAGCCGACACAGCACUUCCAUUAGCUUUCCGGAAACACAACUGGUUGGAGGUCAUUCAUGUUUGUCUGGGAAAAAAAGUCUGCAAUUCCUCUAUCAUUGGCACAAGUGAUUUAACUGGAGGAUCAUAGGAGUAGUUUAGCGCCUAGUACAAAAAAGCCCACUUAGACAGGUUCAGACAUUGGUACAUGGGCUUUGGGUUAUGAUGAUAUAGUUACUGGAUUCACAGUAAGCUGGUGUUAGCUGGUAUUACCUUUACAUUACCCUUAACAUUUUUCAGUUCCAUUAAUGAGGAAAUACAGUGAAGAUCUAGCUGUGAGGAGACUUUGGCUGAGUGUUUAUUGAAAUAAGAAAAACACUGGCAAAAAUUUUGUCAUUCUGAUCGGACCAAGACUAUGACAAAAAGUAGUUGAUUAUAUAAACGAUCUCAUCUUGUAUCAUUAUAAGAUUAUGUAGAAUGAAAGCAAGCAGUUCAAAGAACUUGAAUGACAGUGAGUAUAGAAACUCAUAAACCAAUUUAAAUCUUCAAACAAAUAAUGGGUUGUUCUGGCCUGCUCCAUUCUGAGCAGUAAUCAAGUAGCACUGCAACUAAUCACUCUAUCAGUAAGAUCUAUGCAAGGGGAAAGUUAUGCAGGAUACCUCUGACCUCCAUUCACAGCCAGAAAGCUUGGGAAAGAGCUGAGCAUAGGGACAUCCUCACUUGUGCAACAGCAGCCAGAAGCUGGGAAAGAAGAAAAUGUUGGCACAAAGCAUAAAAGUCAAACUGAAGGUUCAACAAGCAAGAGCUUAAAAGUGAAAGCCAGACCCCCACCAACCACAGGGAUGAUACAGAAUGGAGAGAUGAAGCUUUUGAAGUGUGGGCUGGCUCUCUGAUGGGAAGGCUGUAUCCUCUCUAUGCACACUUCACAGAAGAGCCUGUGGUAUAGAGUGUUCUAUCCAUUUCUUAAAUGUCUCUGCUGCUAAUGAAGUUGUCUUUGGCCCAAUGAAGUGAAAAGUUUCUUCUUAAAAAGGAAGACAAAGCCAACAACAAAACCAGCAACUAAAACCCACAAUAAUAGGAUUUAAAAACAAAACCAAAUGAGUUUAUAGUAACAGACUGGCUGCUAACCUUCCUGUACACAGAUUGUUCUGAUUUAUUUUUGGAAUAUGGCACUAAGCUCUGGAUUUCUUCAUGAAUGCUUUGAGAAUUUUACUUUCCCUGUCCUUUAGUACAGGACACAACGUGCUACAAGUCUCAGAUCUUGUUUCCUUUCACUUUCUACCUUCAUUUGAAAGACUUUGUCCUGCUGGCUCUUCUGCAUUGUAUUCCUUGGCUGUUUACAGAAGUUGUUUCUUGUGUGCCAAGCUCUUUUCACAUAAUGUAACUCAAUCCAUAUGUCCACUUCAUAAAAUGGAAUACAAAUCUCUGGCAGAUGCUCUCUCAACAUCCGGCUGCUACUUCAGCAUUUUUUGUCCCAUGCAUUUUUUACAAGGUUUUUGUAGCUCUGUUUUUUGUAGCAAUCAGAAACAAAAGCAGCUUCUUUCCUGCUACAGAUCUCAAAAAAAAAAAACCAAAAAAACAUUUGAAGUCUUGGUUCCCAGUUUUUUCAUUCAAAGCAUGAUGAUAACCUGGUAGUUAAAUGUUUUAUUUUCCUAGUUCCUCUUGUUUUCCAAAGGAAAGCUAAAGGUUUCAAGACAAAUGUCUUAUUUUAAAAAGUAUGGAAACUCCAGAAAUUUGCCUACUGUUCCUCUGCCCUAAUCCAGUUUAUUUGAAGCGCAGGUGGGAUUGGAAGCUUGUACUUGGUUACAGAUAUUCUUCUGCCUCUUACUUGAUGAGCUGUGUGAGACUGCUGAAGAAGUAGUGGUGGGUCAAGUGUUGCGUUUGUCCAUCACAUUUCAAAGAAGCUCAUCUUCUGGAUGCAGAGCUCUGCCAGCUUUCUGCUUUUAAUUUAGACAGAAAAACCACAGCAGUGUUCAGCUUCAUACAACUCAAAGUUUAUUCAGUUUCCUUAUCUGAAGACUACAAUUUGGUUUAUAUGCUUGUGACACAAAGCUAUAUUUUCAUGCAUCCUUGUUCUGUGACCAAAUUCUGUAAAUGGCAAAGAUCAAGCAGUAAAAGGCAUGUGCACAAUGUACUUCUACUGCACUAACUCAGAAAAAAUUAAAGCUGUAAAAACUGUCUGAGCUACAGAAAGGAGCAGUGAGGAAGUAUGAGUGCUUCCAAAGAUAUUUAGUGAGUAUGUGUGUUUAUAUUGUAAAUUAAUUUCAAACAAAAGCAAUUUAUCUUGUCUGAACAUUCACAUGGUAUGUAGUACAAAUUAAGUAGAAAAACAAGAACAGAAUGCUUGAAAAAUUUUACCUAUUAAAAAGCUGCACUGGGCACUUCUCUAUUUUAGGACAAGAUUUAAUUGGAUUGUUUAAAAUGCACUGGCAGGACAGUCAUUUUCUUACCAGCAGGUAACAGCAGUUCCAAAAAAGGUUCUUUCUCCAAUGUUGCUGCAGGAACCGUUGCUACUUAGAAACUAGCGAAGUCAUUCAUCAAAAUGAAAAGAACAAACUGUUAUAUAAAGCAAUAAUUUUGCCAAACAAGUAUUUUGAGUCUGUCUAAAGUGGAUGAUCAGAACAUACUACCCUGUUCAUUGGUAAUAAAAACUUGGAAGGAUACAUGUCUGGCCUAGUAAUUUUUUUUUCCAAGCAUAAAUAUAAUUUUCUUCUUAAAGCAAUUUUUUUUUUUUAAUCUUUCUGGUUAUUGCAGCAUUUUUCCUUAUCAAUGCCUAACUUAUUGUCCACUGCAGCAAUGCACUGAAGAUGCAGAAAAGGACUGAAUGCCAAUGGGGUAGCUUCACAGGAGGUGUUUGUUAUCUGUAGGUAUGUUGCUGCUAGU